Mugil cephalus (flathead mullet) is the source of this 271-nucleotide long non-coding RNA. RefSeq lists it as uncharacterized. The transcript is spliced from 3 exons. Lineage: Eukaryota; Metazoa; Chordata; Actinopteri; Mugiliformes; Mugilidae. The record is from RefSeq and is a predicted model, not a curated record.
UCUGUGUAUACAGUCGUACUGCGGGCGACCCCAGCAGCUGACCUAUGAGGGGUCGGAAGAGCCAUGACUGCCUCAUUACUGGUAGAUCCAGUGUUAACAGGGCAAGGUGAAGAAUGAAAGAUCCACAGCAGCUGAAGGUGUCGGCCCUCUCAGCAAAAUUGAAAGCCUAAUCAUGUAUCAUGAAUUCUGGGUUGAUUUGUUUUCACAAUCAAGAAAGAAGCACACAUUGAUGUCCCAUGGUUUAUUGUGUCCUCUAAACAGUUCAGGUUAG